UCAGUAACACUGUAGUCAACAUGCCCAGGGGACGUGGAUAACCUCGUGGAAACUGAGGAUAAACCUGCGAUAGGUCACUGCUUCUGGCAAUAGGGCAAUGACCCAGAACCUAACAUAGGCCCCUAGGAUUGGACUAGCGGCCGAUCAGGCUGUUGGUGAGGUAAUGGCCCACCAAACCUGUAACCGGUACGGGCUCUGAGAGGAGGAGCCCGGAGAUAGGGCACUGAGACAAGGGCCCAGGCCCUAUGGGGCGCAGCAGGCGCGAAACCUCUGCAAUAGGCGAAAGCUUGACAGGGUUACUCUGAGUGAUUUCCGUUACGGAGAUCUUCCGGCACCUCUAAACAUGGUGCAGAAUA
This 356-nucleotide ribosomal RNA is filed under the name unidentified archaeon. RNAcentral's name for it is "bacterial SSU rRNA". It matches the Rfam family "Archaeal small subunit ribosomal RNA", at positions 90 to 437 of the family's 1478-position model. The record is from RNAcentral.